Molecule: ribosomal RNA, 254 nt
Filed under: uncultured Bacteroidales bacterium
Lineage: Bacteria; Pseudomonadati; Bacteroidota; Bacteroidia; Bacteroidales
Description: partial 16S ribosomal RNA
Rfam family: Bacterial small subunit ribosomal RNA
Source: RNAcentral
UACGGAGGAUGCGAGCGUUAUCCGGAUUUAUUGGGUUUAAAGGGUGCGUAGGCUGUGAGGUAAGUCAGCGGUGAAAUGCCCCCGCUCAACGGGGUGAAGUGCCAUUGAUACUGCCUUGCUGGAAUGCGGAUGCCGUGGGAGGAAUGUGUGGUGUAGCGGUGGAAUGCAUAGAUAUCAUACAGAACACCGAUUGCGAAGGCAGCUUACCAAACUAUAUCUGACGUUGAGGCACGAAAGCGUGGGUAGCAAACAGG